CCUACGGGUGGCAGCAGUGGGGAAUAUUGCACAAUGGGCGCAAGCCUGAUGCAGCCAUGCCGCGUGUGUGAAGAAGGCCUUCGGGUUGUAAAGCACUUUCAGCGGGGAGGAAGGCGGUGAGGUUAAUAACCUCAUCGAUUGACGUUACCCGCAGAAGAAGCACCGGCUAACUCCGUGCCAGCAGCCGCGGUAAUACGGAGGGUGCAAGCGCUAAUCGGAAUUACUGGGCGUAAAGCGCACGCAGGCGGUCUGUCAAGUCGGAUGUGAAAUCCCCGGGCUCAACCUGGGAACUGCAUUCGAAACUGGCAGGCUAGAGUCUUGUAGAGGGGGGUAGAAUUCCAGGUGUAGCGGUGAAAUGCGUAGAGAUCUGGAGGAAUACCGGUGGCGAAGGCGGCCCCCUGGACAAAGACUGACGCUCAGGUGCGAAAGCGUGGGGAGCAAACAGGAUUAGAUACCCCAGUAGUC
RNAcentral lists this ribosomal RNA (465 nucleotides) under uncultured Klebsiella sp. RNAcentral's name for it is "bacterial SSU rRNA". It matches the Rfam family "Bacterial small subunit ribosomal RNA", at positions 338 to 795 of the family's 1533-position model. Lineage: Bacteria; Pseudomonadati; Pseudomonadota; Gammaproteobacteria; Enterobacterales; Enterobacteriaceae. The record is from RNAcentral.